AAGUCGAAGACCCGACUAUUGAAACCUAGUGAUAGUAAUGGGUUAGUACGGCGGGACGGUAGGAGUAACGACGUGGGUAACCGUGCCUUACACAGGGGGAGUAACACUUAGAAAUAGGUAGCUAAAACGCAUAAGCGCACAGCUUCGCAUGAAGCGGUGUGAAAACUCCGGUGGUGUAAGAUGGACCCGCGUCUGAUUAGCUUGUUGGCGGGGUAACGGCCCACCAAGGCGACGAUCAGUAGCCGGCCUGAGAGGGCGGACGGCCACAUUGGGACUGAGACACGGCCCAGACUCCUACGGGAGGCAGCAGUGGGGAGUAUUGCACAAUGGGGGAAACCCUGAUGCAGCGACGCCGCGUGAGUGAAGAAGUAAUUCGUUACGUAAAGCUCUAUCAGCAGGGAAGAAACACUGACCUUACGGUCAGCAGACGGUACCUGAGUAAGAAGCCCCGGCUAACUACGUG
RNAcentral lists this ribosomal RNA (463 nucleotides) under uncultured Lachnospiraceae bacterium. RNAcentral's name for it is "bacterial SSU rRNA". It matches the Rfam family "Bacterial small subunit ribosomal RNA", at positions 59 to 507 of the family's 1533-position model. Lineage: Bacteria; Bacillati; Bacillota; Clostridia; Lachnospirales; Lachnospiraceae. The record is from RNAcentral.